RNAcentral lists this ribosomal RNA (438 nucleotides) under uncultured bacterium. RNAcentral's name for it is "bacterial SSU rRNA". It matches the Rfam family "Bacterial small subunit ribosomal RNA", at positions 338 to 793 of the family's 1533-position model. The record is from RNAcentral.
CCUACGGGAGGCAGCAGUGGGGAAUAUUGGACAAUGGAGGCAACUCUGAUCCAGCAAUGCCGCGUGUGUGAUGAAGGCCUUAGGGUUGUAAAGCACUUUCAACGGUGAAGAUGAUGACGGUAGCCGUAGAAGAAGCCCCGGCUAACUUCGUGCCAGCAGCCGCGGUAAUACGAAGGGGGCGAGCGUUAUUCGGAAUUAUUGGGCGUAAAGGGCUCGCAGGCUGCUUGAACAGUUAGACGUGAAAUCCCCGGGCUCAACCUGGGAACUGCGUUUAAUACUAGCAAGCUAGAGUAAUAGAGAGGAAAGUGGAAUUCCCAGUGUAGAGGUGAAAUUCGUAGAUAUUGGGAGGAACACCAGUGGCGAAAGCGGCUUUCUGGCUAUUUACUGACGCUGAGGAGCGAAAGCGUGGGGAGCAAACAGGAUUAGAUACCCUGGUAG